CGGGUAGUGGCGCAGCUUGGUAGCGCGCCUCGUUCGGGACGAGGAGGUCGUGGGUUCAAAUCCCGCCUACCCGA
This 74-nucleotide transfer RNA is filed under the name bacterium. RNAcentral's name for it is "tRNA-Pro". It matches the Rfam family "tRNA". From Rfam's summary of the family: Transfer RNA (tRNA) molecules are approximately 80 nucleotides in length. RNAcentral also lists the same sequence under 2 other names. The record is from RNAcentral.